RNAcentral lists this non-coding RNA (53 nucleotides) under Ixodes scapularis (black-legged tick). RNAcentral describes it as "Guanidine-II sequence". It matches the Rfam family "Guanidine-II riboswitch aptamer (mini-ykkC)". From Rfam's summary of the family: Simpler in structure and has fewer highly conserved nucleotide positions than the ykkC-yxkD leader. Despite this each of its two stem-loop structures directly bind free guanidine. Therefore, mini-ykkC RNA motif represents a distinct class of guanidine-sensing RNAs. The record is from Rfam by way of RNAcentral. Lineage: Eukaryota; Metazoa; Arthropoda; Arachnida; Ixodida; Ixodidae.
CUUCGAGGACGACCUCAAGGAUGACGUUUAGGAUGACCUCGAGGACGACCUCA